UUUAAGCACUCUCUUUAAAUUGAUUGAUUUGCCCAUUUUUUAAAUGUAAACUUUUAGCCUGUAUACUCAUAGAUACUGUAAAUUGUGUGUUUGUUUUGUUACUUAUUUAUUUAAAUUGGUCGUUAUGUAGAAAGAUAAGUUGCUUUGGUUGUGUAAGAGCUCGCGGGCGCUCGCUUUCUGAAUUCAGCGCUAUUACCGCUAAGUGUCUAAAAGCCGCGCCGUAAAAAUUUUACGUGCGGCUUGAUUAACCGUGGUUUCAGGAAGACUGUCUGCUUAACCACAGUGAAGCUUGGAACGGCUUCAAGCUUUUGCCACAGUAAGGGCACAUUUCACAUUACAGUUUGUGAAACAGAAGAAAAGAACUCGAAUCAUUCAAGCGUUUUCGCUAGUCUAAGAUAUCAGCAGACUGAAAAUCAUAGUUCCUUUACAUUUUGAUAGUCAUACUCCGUGUCCAAUCAGAAACGAGCAUUGAUUGAUGUUCGAUCAGGACCUACCCUUUCCGUUUUGAGUUAAUGCUAUUGCGUUUUUGGUUUGUUAAAGUGUUUUGCACUUUAGGGCCACCAUAAUUUUGGGUUUGCAAUCAGUUACAACUGCGAUGAUCAAAAAAAGUUGAAAAAACAGUCAGUCUUUGUAGACAUUACUCGACCCGAGUGCCGUAUGCUCAUGGCGAUACAUCUAAUAUGACAAAUCAUCUACACCGUCAUCACCCGGGGAUUGAUAGCGCGCGGGUCUGAAGCCGGUUUCCGCCCCGGAGAAAAACAUUAUAAAGGUCAUUUCAACUUUUUUUUGCAAUUACAAGUUUUCUUAGUCGCAUUUGUCAUGGCUUGUAUGAUUAUGGAAAACAUUAUAGAGGAUUAUUUUGGUUUCACAAAUAGAGAGAUCUUGAUUUUAUUGGAAGAGUCACAACAUAAACCUACGUCUCCAGACUCUUGAGAGAACAUUAUGCAGAAACCAGUUGUGGUGGAGACGCAACAAAACAGAUGAAGCCGAAGUGGCAUAUUUUAUACACCAGCAGCUUCAGACAUCAGGACGACAACAUGGCUAUCAGUGGAUGCAGCAGAAAUGUUGGAUGUCCGGGAUGAUCACAGACAGAGAAACUGUCCAUCAGUUGAUGCAACUGUUAAAUGCACAAGAAGUGGAUGUGUGUGCGCAUGUAUAACAGUCGUGGGCCAUUGUCUGUUAACCUACUCGAGUUUGAACUCACUACAUAGAUUAAUUUGAGUUAGAAAGAUUGCAGUGAUAAAGCAUCAAUCAUUCUCUAUAAAUAGGCUAUAUAAGAACAACACUCAACCAGACACGAGCGCGCGCUCGUUACCUGAAGUUUCAAAAUUACAUUUUAUGAAUCUACUUAUGCUUUAGCACAUUUAAUUCCAAAAUCAUGUAUUGUGUCUGUUUUACUACUACUGACUACUUAAGAAUUAUUAGUUCAUAUGGAAAAUACAUUUUGGGAUAAUUUGAGAAUUGGUACAUCCAGCAAGCAGAUAAGUGUUUUUGUUUGUAUUUUGUUUAGUUAGGAUUGUACCAUAUUGUUUCCCUCAGAGUUUGCUCAAAGAUAUUCUUCUGCCAGGACUAAGACCAAUGUCAUAAUGAACAAGUGUAUAGCCCCCUAUCUUUUGCAUGAACUAGUGAAGAACCUCUGCAGUCAGCUUUUUACAUUAGCGACUGAGGGUUCUGCAAAGUUACAAUAUCCCAUGGACCAAUUGUGUGGCUCUUGCAGUUCACAAUGCCAGUGUCAACAUGGGUAUCAGAAAUUCAGUUAGGAGCAGGGUCCUGGACCAGAAUCCUUCUGUAUUUGUCCUAGGCUGUCCCUGCCACAUUGUAGACAAUAAUGCACAUGCUGGAGGGUUGAUGUAUUCAGAGGUAAUUGCCUGGAAGUCACAAUAUUAGCUGUGUUUUAGAUCUUGUUUAUAAUUUCUAUUUCAGGGAGUGAUUUGACAUACAGUAAUAUGACUAACAUAAUGUUUUAUUUACCCCCCAGAUAUCAGGCUUUGAUGUUCAGGAUUUUUGUGUUGAUCUUGCAUGCUGAUUCAAAUCCAGCACAAAGAGAAAGAGCAUGCUUGACGGCAAGUUAUCCUUGCAUAACACAUAUAUUGUACUUUGUGAAUAUUGUGAGAUGAAAUGGCAAUCAUUUAUUGAAGGGCCAUACUACUUGUAUAAUACUUGUAUAAUAAUUUAAAUAUUUUAUUUAUUGAAGAGUUCUGUGUGUUUUGUGACACAAAGUACAUGGAGGUACUGCAGCAUUUGAGCAUCAGAUGGCUCAGUUUGGACCUAGCUGUGAACCGUAUACUCCGUCUCUACAAUGCUGUAAAGAGCUGCUUUAGAGCAUUUUGUGGAGCGACUCCACAGAUGAAAGGCAAGCCAGAUUUGUGAGACUCCAUGCCUGUUUUCAGGAUCCAACCACUGAAGUUCAUAAAGACCAUUCAACAAAAUAGGUUCAUAAAACAUGUCAGGAAAAUGUCUGUCCUAUUUUACUUCAAAAUAAAAGCAUAAAAUGUAUAUUUAUAUUUA
Long non-coding RNA from Pangasianodon hypophthalmus (striped catfish), 2508 nucleotides. RefSeq lists it as uncharacterized. The record is from RefSeq and is a predicted model, not a curated record. Lineage: Eukaryota; Metazoa; Chordata; Actinopteri; Siluriformes; Pangasiidae. The transcript has 2 exons.